AAAAUCCGUCGACUUUAAAAAUCGUGA
RNAcentral lists this transfer RNA (27 nucleotides) under Turnera coriacea var. solium. RNAcentral describes it as "partial tRNA-Leu". The record is from RNAcentral. Lineage: Eukaryota; Viridiplantae; Streptophyta; Magnoliopsida; Malpighiales; Passifloraceae.